GAGAGCUUCUUAUUUGUCUUUCAUUUUUGACCGGUGGAUCUAGGUUACUCUCUCCCUUUUGUUCUCAAUGUGAGGGGAUUUGAAGUAGGCGCGCUUGUUUUCCGGCUAGUGAGAGUGCUUGGAUGAUGAUGGAUCAUCCCCUCGAUUUGCAAUCUCAUCGUGAAUCACUCAGAUCUGUCUUCCCUGAGUUGCAAUGGAGUCUGACAAAACAUACGAUGAUGAUGAUGAUAAAGGGGAUAAAAAUAUCAUUCAGUAUUAUGGCGUGUGUUGAACUAUGCCCAUCAAAUCAAUGAUAUACCAAAGACCAAAGCGGCAAUGGACUGAGACGAGCAAAAGAGGUUCAAGCAAACUAUCCAAUUAAUUUCCUAGUUUUGUCAUGUUUAUGUUAUUAUUUAAUCAAUAAUAAUGACUUUUUUUUAAUUUAAUGGAAAGUUUGUAAGUUGGGCCUUGUAAGUUCUAAGUGGAAUGACUAAUUUUGUAGGUGGAAUCAAAACCUAGUGAAGUCUAUGCUCGAUUCCUGACUCAGGAAUUGAUCCAAGGGUUCCUGAUGCAACCAAACCUGAAAUAUUAACCACCUCUGUUACUAACACGCAUGGAAUUCUCACAAAGAAACAAAGUCCUAUUCAUUCAUCUAUGAUUUCAAGCCAAACCAUGCAUCUAGGGUGGUUGCGACGGCUAGUCAUGCAGUCAUGAUUGGCAACAUGUUUCUAGUCUAUUACAAACCCACAAGUCUUUGGUUUUGAUGUUCAUGACAAUGUAUGCUAAUUGCUGACAACGUGAAGCCUAAUAUAAUUUAUGUUGGCAUUGAGGAUGGAGACAAUCUAGAUGUUGUCACAAGCACAAAUUCAAAGAAAAAUCUCAUUCCAAAAUACUAGCCUGUUUGGAGAAAGAAUUCCUCAC
This is a long non-coding RNA of Prosopis cineraria, 900 nucleotides long. RefSeq lists it as uncharacterized. The record is from RefSeq and is a predicted model, not a curated record. Lineage: Eukaryota; Viridiplantae; Streptophyta; Magnoliopsida; Fabales; Fabaceae. The transcript is spliced from 4 exons.